RNAcentral lists this ribosomal RNA (943 nucleotides) under Klebsiella pneumoniae. Its description in RNAcentral is "bacterial SSU rRNA". It matches the Rfam family "Bacterial small subunit ribosomal RNA", at positions 469 to 1410 of the family's 1533-position model. The record is from RNAcentral. Lineage: Bacteria; Pseudomonadati; Pseudomonadota; Gammaproteobacteria; Enterobacterales; Enterobacteriaceae.
UUGACGUUACUACCAGAAGAGGCACGGAUAAUUCCGGCCAGCAGCCGCGUAAUACGGAGGUGCAAGCGUUUAUUGAAAUUACUGGGCGUAAGCGCACGCAGGGGUUCUUCAAGUCGGAUGAAAAUCCCCGGGUCUCAAAACCGGGAGAGUGCAUGGAAAUUGGCAGGCUAGAGUCUUGUAGAGAGAGGUAGAAUUCCCAGGUGUAGCGGUGAAAUGCGUAGAGAUCUGGAGGACAUACCGGUGGCGAAGGCGGCCUCCAGUACAUAAGACUGACGUUCAGGUGCGAUAGCGUGGGAGAGCAACCAGGAUUAGAUACCCUGGUAGUCCACCCGGUAAACGAUGUUGAUUUGGAGGUUGUGCCCUUGAGGCGUGGCUUCCGAGCUAACGCAUUAAAUAGUCCGCCUGGGGAGUACGGCCGCAAGGUUAAAACUCAUAUGAAUUGACGGGGGCCCGCACAAGCGGUGGAGCAUGUGGUUUAAUUCGAUGCAACGCGAAGAACCUUACCUGGUCUUGACAACCUCAGAACUUCCCAGAGAUGGGUUGUUCCCUUCGGGAACUGAGAGACAGGUGGUGCAUGGUUGUCGUCAGCUCGUGUUGUGAAAUGUUGGGUUAAGUCCCGCAACGAGCGCAACCCUUAUCCUUAGUUGCCAGCGGUUAGGCCGGGAAUUCAAAGGAGACUCCCAGUGAUAAACGGGAGGAAGGGCCCGAGGAGGUCAAGUCAUCAUCCCCCUUACGCCCAGGGUUACCCACGUGUUCCAAUGGCAUAUACAAAGGGAAGCGACCUCCCGAGAGCAAGCAAUCCUCAUAAUGUAUGUUCAGUUCCGGAUUGGGUUUGGCAAUUGGAUUCCAUGAAGUCGGAAUCGUAUAGUAAUCGUAGAUCAGAAUGCGACGGUGUACGUGUUCCGGGCCAAUUGCACACACGCGCCGUGUCACCCCAUGCAGG